Gallus gallus (chicken) is the source of this 1003-nucleotide long non-coding RNA. The record is from Ensembl. Lineage: Eukaryota; Metazoa; Chordata; Aves; Galliformes; Phasianidae.
GGGAGAGCGGCGCGAGGAGCGGGCUGUGCCGCGAGGUGCGCGGCCCCGCACGCAGCCAGCUGCAGCCGCCGACCCCACAGCCGUCCCGGUUCCGGUGAGAGCCCGGCUCUCCCAGGCAGCAUCUGCAGUCCUGGGGACACCACUGCUGAGUCUGACCUUCAAAUCUCUCGAAGGAGGCACAUGGUGCAGAGGAGGGGAUGUGAGAGCUGCUCUGCCCCGGAUGGAUGGACUGUGUGAGGGUGCAUGAGGCAAGCCUUGACUCCAGAGUCUCUUCCCCAAGUGAUGAAGAGCAAACCUCGCUCUGGUUGGUCCCACAGCACUGCUGCUAACCACAGCAGCAGCAGCAGCUCUCCGCACUCCCACCACAUGCAGAACCCAGCACAGCUGGGAUGCUGCUCACCCAGGCAUUGUCCAGAGGGAGCGCCAUUCCCCCGGAGACCGUGGCAUGGAUUUUGUUGCAAAUAACUCAAUAAUGACACUGCAACUCCUUCUUUGCCCAGGACUCGCCUGCACACUGUGGCAGACUCCUGCUCAAGCGUUGGAGGGCCGGAAUCCCUGAUGGAGGUUCCAUGAAUGCCUUUGGGGUGGAGGACCUCAACACCACAGAGCUGUUCUGGAGGAGGAAGAGGAGGAGGAGGAGGAGGAGCUCAGUGCAGGGCCUCACAGCACGGUGCCAUCCAGGGGGGACAGGAGCUGGUCCUCCCCACCCACCCCAGCACUGCGAGCAUCGGGAGGCAUCAGCCUUCGUGCCACUUGUGUAAACUAUUACAGCAAAGGGCAGAGGUUAAACGCAGCACAUGUGUGGCAUCAAUUAACAGGAUUUCAAGGUCUCUGGUGGAGUUUCUGCUCAAAUCUCCUGUGGCAGGUUUGGUUUUCUUAACCCCUCGGAUGCCAUGCGGUUGGCAGCCUCGGCUCUGCGCUGCUCCCUGCUGCUGCGGGGGUCCCCCAGGGCCACGUUGGGAGCAGCCUCAGUCAAUUUAGGCACAAGGGGACAGCACACAGC